GAUGAACGCUAGCGGCAGGCCUAACACAUGCAAGUCGAGGGAGAAGCUCUUUCGGGAGCAGAAACCGGCGCACGGGUGCGUAACGCGUAUGCAACCUACCUUUCACAGGGGGAUAGCCCGAAGAAAUUUGGAUUAAUACCCCAUAAUAUUAUUGGAUGGCAUCAUUUGAUAAUUAAAACUGCGGUGGUGAAAGAUGGGCAUGCGUCCUAUUGGCUAGUUGGAGUGGUAACGGCACCCCAAGGCUACGAUAGGUAGGGGUCCUGAGAGGGAGAUCCCCCACACUGGUACUGAGACAGGGACCAGACUCCUACGGGAGGCAGCAGUGGGGAAUAUUGCACAAUGGGCGCAAGCCUGAUGCAGCGACGCCGCGUGAGGGAUGACGGCCUUCGGGUUGUAAACCUCUGUUAGCAGGGAAGAAGAGAGAUUGACGGUACCUGCAGAGAAAGCGCCGGCUAACUACGUGCCAGCAGCCGCGGUAAUACGUAGGGCGCGAGCGUUGUCCGGAAUUAUUGGGCGUAAAGAGCUUGUAGGCGGUUUGUCGCGUCUGCUGUGAAAGGCCGGGGCUUAACCCCGUGUAUUGCAGUGGGUACGGGCAGACUAGAGUGCAGUAGGGGAGACUGGAAUUCCUGGUGUAGCGGUGGAAUGCGCAGAUAUCAGGAGGAACACCGAUGGCGAAGGCAGGUCUCUGGGCUGUAACUGACGCUGAGAAGCGAAAGCAUGGGGAGCGAACAGG
RNAcentral lists this ribosomal RNA (733 nucleotides) under Parahaemophilus parainfluenzae. RNAcentral's name for it is "Haemophilus parainfluenzae bacterial SSU rRNA". It matches the Rfam family "Bacterial small subunit ribosomal RNA", at positions 28 to 776 of the family's 1533-position model. The record is from RNAcentral. Lineage: Bacteria; Pseudomonadati; Pseudomonadota; Gammaproteobacteria; Pasteurellales; Pasteurellaceae.